GACGAACGCUGGCGGCACGCCUAACACAUGCAAGUCGAACGGAGAUAUUUGGAUUUAUUCGAAUAUCUUAGUGGCGGACGGGUGAGUAACACGUGAGCAACCUGCCUUUGAGAGAGGGAUAGCUUUUGGAAACGAAUGGUAAUACCUCAUAACGUAUAUUUGAGGCAUCUCAGAUAUACCAAAGAUUUAUCACUCAAAGAUGGGCUCGCGUCUGAUUAGCUAGAUGGUGAGGUAACGGCUCACCAUGGCGACGAUCAGUACGCCGGACUGAGAGGUUGAACGGUCACAUUGGGACUGAGACACGGCCCAG
Molecule: ribosomal RNA, 310 nt
Filed under: uncultured bacterium
Lineage: Bacteria
Description: bacterial SSU rRNA
Rfam family: Bacterial small subunit ribosomal RNA
Source: RNAcentral